This 67-nucleotide microRNA precursor is filed under the name Gorilla gorilla gorilla (western lowland gorilla). Its description in RNAcentral is "miRNA (ENSGGOG00000041821.1)". The record is from RNAcentral. Lineage: Eukaryota; Metazoa; Chordata; Mammalia; Primates; Hominidae.
UGGUGCAAAAGUAAUUGCGGUUUUUGCCAUUAAAAGUAAUGGCAAAAACUGCAAUUGCUUUUGCACC